GUGGGGAAUAUUGGACAAUGGGCGAAAGCCUGAUCCAGCCAUGCCGCGUGUGUGAAGAAGGUCUUCGGAUUGUAAAGCACUUUAAGUUGGGAGGAAGGGCAGUAAGUUAAUACCUUGCUGUUUUGACGUUACCGACAGAAUAAGCACCGGCUAACUUCGUGCCAGCAGCCGCGGUAAUACGAAGGGUGCAAGCGUUAAUCGGAAUUACUGGGCGUAAAGCGCGCGUAGAUGGUUUUGUAAGUUGGAGGUGAAAUCCCCGGGCUCAACCUGGGAACUGCAUCCAAAACUGCAUGACUAGAGUACGGUAGAGGGUAGUGGAAUUUCCUGUGUAGCGGUGAAAUGCGUAGAUAUAGGAAGGAACACCAGUGGCGAAGGCGACUACCUGGACUGAUACUGACACUGAGGUGCGAAAGCGUGGGGAGCAAACAGGAUUAGAAACCCGUGUAGUCC
Molecule: ribosomal RNA, 450 nt
Filed under: uncultured bacterium
Lineage: Bacteria
Description: partial 16S ribosomal RNA
Rfam family: Bacterial small subunit ribosomal RNA
Source: RNAcentral